Molecule: long non-coding RNA, 21634 nt
Filed under: Paramuricea clavata
Lineage: Eukaryota; Metazoa; Cnidaria; Anthozoa; Malacalcyonacea; Plexauridae
Source: RNAcentral
UUUGGAAAAGGUUUUUCAGCUAGAUUUCCUGUGCAUUUUGUUGGAUAUAAGCUCCUGUGGAGAAGACAUAAAAGGUCAAAGAAAUAUCUUAGAUCUUAAGUGAGUAAAUUUAUUUGAAAUUAAGGUAAUCUUUCCAUGUUUCGCGCACCGAUAUAGUAAUGCGCGAAUCAAAUCGAAACCUUGACAUCCCCCCCCGGGCAUACCCCCGGGAAUUUGGAUUUUGACGUUUUGGUCAGGUCAAAUUCCCUACAUAUAUUUGUAAUUCCCGUUCAAAUACACCACGUAUUGGGAAAAAUUGGAGUUCAAAUACCCCACCCCAUGUACGAAUUGGAAGCUACAGCAUUUCGCAAUUUUGGAAUUUCCAAGUUUUUCUUUCCUUCAAAAACUCUCUUCAAUCGUUCAAAGCCGUUUUCUUGUAGCCAACCAAGGACAAAGUUAAUUCCUUUGCACUUGAAGACCUUGAACUCAUCCAUUAAUCAUUGACGCCAUUUUGGAUUCUGCACACGUGUUUAAAAGAAAAAUUCAAAUUCCCGACCCCCUUCAAAUUCCCCACCUUCCACUAGAAAAAAAGGUCAAAUUCCCGCCUUCUUAAAAUACUAAACAAGCAAAUUCCCCAGGUAUGCCCGGGGGGGGGAUGUCAAGGUUUCGAUUUGAUUCGCGCAUAAACGUUAUAUGGUGUACUGAAAAGUUAACUGGAUACCUCCAUACACAUAUAUACACACCCUAACCUUAAAGGCUUAAACCUAACCCCUGAUACCUAACCCCUAACCCUAACCUAUAUUGGUAUGCGAAACAUGGAACGAUUAACCGAAAUUAAUCAUUCAUUGGGGGUAGUAUAUGGCAAGUCAAGCGCACUGCGCACACAUGAUAUGAUACGACACGAGUAUCCGGAAUCACAGGACCGCAUGUUGGGUCAUUCCAUUUAUUAUCCGCACCCCCCCCCCCCUAUGGAUGAGCGGAUUCCUACCGGUCAGAUAUUAGGACUUAGGGGAUUCCUACUGGUCAGAUAUUGGGAAUUAGCAGAUUCCUUCGGCCCGAUUCCUACCGGUCAGAUAUUGCCGUCGAGGUGUAGCAUACUAUAUUGCCAAAUAUUUAUUAUGAGAAUCAUAAUCAUUCCAUUUAUUAUCCUCACCCCCCCCCCCGGUCUGACAUUGGGAAUUAGCAGAUUCCUACCAGUGAGAUAUUGGCAAUUAGCAGAUUCCUACCAGUGAGAUAUUGGCAAUUAGCAGCAUUCCUAGGGUUUAGAUUGAUACUGUCGAUUCCAACAGGGUACUUCUCUGAAAUCCGAUUCCUACAGGUAACUUUUUUACCAGAGCUCAUCCAUAGGGGGGGUGCGGAUAAUAAAUGGAAUGACCCGUUCGAUUGGGCCAUUGCAUUUUUAAACCAAACCCUCCCUAUUGAGGACAUCCAUUUUUUGGUCCCCCCUCCCCUGGAAUUUCCACAUAUUUUAAGCGAAUUUUGAGCCUCCCCUGUGGAAUUUCUGCAGAUUUUUAUUGAAUUUUAGCCAUCCUCAUGGAAUUUCCGAAAAUUUUUUAUGAACUUUUAACCCAUCCCAUGGAAAUUCCUUGACAGUUUUUGGUCUAGCCAGUGGAAAUUCCGUAUUCAUUCUUUGAUUAGUAGCUAUCCCUUGGAAAAUUCCUUGCUGAUUUUGAUCCUAUCCUUUGGAAUUUCUUUUCUAUUGUUGACCCUCCCAUGGAAAUUCCAUACGUUUUAUUCAUUUUUCUUACCUACCCUUUGGAAUUUCCGCAGAUUUGCUUUAAAAUUUGGACCCUCCCAUGGAAAUUCCUUCAUUUUUGGUUCACUUUUGCAGGGGGUCAUUGGAAAUUCCACAUGUCCUCAAUAGGGGGGGGGGGUGCAGAUAAAAAAUGCAAUGGCCCAUUUCUUCCAGAACGCCUACAAUUGCAUUUUUUGCAACUACUCCUGGUUGGGUGUAAUAAAUGUAUAAAAAUUCCACUUGACAGUUCCAUCUAUAAAUCCCUUCAAUGAACUUUGCACACUUGAAAACCUAUAUUUGUGCCUAUAUAGACAACUAGAGUUUGUUGCAUAUUAUUGGCAGUUUUUAACAUUAACGUCAACUUUAUUAGUGCACACUUGAAAUUUCAGAUAGGAUUGCACACUCGCACUCCCAAAUUUUAGUCUUGCACACCCGAGAUCUCGUCAAAAAGUGCCAUUGCAUUCUGCAGCCCUCAGUGUAGUAGAGGGUAAUUCCAUGGUGACUCAUGUUACAUUCUGAACCAAACUAUCAGAGUAACUUUUAUCUGGUGUAAUAACUAAUAUUUGUUAUAUGGCUUUCCAAAAUUUUCUAUUCUGAUUGGUUGACGUCAAGUGGUCCGUAAAAAAAACCAUAUCCGGACUGUGGCCCGUAUUUUCCAUAUCUGGACCGGUGUCCAGGAUGUCGUUUAUCUGGCGGGAAAUUUUUGCUUUGCAAACAGAAAAAUUUUUUGCUUUUUAAAUUUCCAAUUGUGCUUUACAGAUAAAAAUUUCAAACAACCAAAUUGUUUUUGAUUGAGCAUGCAUGCCUACCGUAUAUUGUUACCCAGUGAAACUGCGACCUUGUACAAGGUUGGUGAAACUGACGAUAGCCAAUUUAAUUCGUGCGAAAACCAUAUGCUCACAGGCUCAGUUCAGCCAUAUAAUAAACCGAUUAUUGACCUCGCUUGCUCAGUCUGUACUGUGUUUUUGUUUGUAUGGACCGAGCGACGAAGGAGCGAGGUCCAUGCAAAAAACAGAGAUCUGAUAUUUGACAGUACAGACCUCACGCUCGGUCAAUAAGCUGUUAAUAAUAUUAUUUUUUUUCUGUCACAUUUUUGCAUGCAGGUACAAAUAAUGGUAAGCUAUUGAUUCACAGUAAAAAUUAAACAUUUGAUCAGAACAUGAUAAGAUUGGUGGCCGUAAAUUGGUGUGUGACUCGAUCAUACUACAGUACGACAAAGUGACAUGAGGUAACACUAACCUAACUACUUUUGAAUUUCUUCGAGAACAAAGGAAAAAGAAAUGUACAAUGUUUAUCAAGUAACAGACUAAUUCUUGACAACUUUUUUUCCAAAAAUGUCAUCACUACCAUGGAAUUACCCUAGACUCUCUGAAAUGGCAUAUAACCUUUAGCUGGAAAUAUUUAAAUUUUCCGGAAAUAAAUACUAACGUGUGUGGCAAUAAUAGCCUGAAGUAAACUGAAUGCUGAAGUACGAAUGUAAAAUAUAUACUAGAAGUUACUACAACUGUAUUUCUGCAUUGCCCUCAGCUUACACAGUUUAUAAUGCAAAAUCUAUGAACGUGUCAAGAUUGUUUACAUUUUGCAUUGCGUGCCAGCAAAUUUUGAUCUUUGAAUUUUGAUAAUCAUGAUAAUCAAUGAUAAAGACAUCAGUGCGCCUAUAAGCAUUAGAGUGUGUGGUUUGCAUAUUUGUUGGCUAGUAUAAACCCACGUUUUCAACUGAGACUAUCUGUGACACACAGUAUUAGUAGUGUACAAUAUAAUUAAUACAAACAGGGAAUCUUUUAAAAUAAAUUCAUAGUUAAUUUUACCUAAAUGAAUAAUUUGAAUGUGAACGUUUCUAUCAGUUAAAUGAAUUGCAAAUGAUAUAUAUAUGUCUAUAUUUUGAAUACGCACAAACUUAUGACCUUUAUACUAGCAUAUAUUCAAAACAAAAUUCAAUAUCUCGAUAUUUAUGGUAUAUUUUGAUCUAUUUUAUAAAAAAAUUGUAAUGUGUUCUCUUUUUAUUACAUUUUAUUUAUGGGUACAAAGCUUUUGGAAAGACGCGAUGAAUAAUGCGUCAAAACCGCAGCAGUUAUCUGAAUAAGUAUAGAAUAUAUAAGUCAUGUCAAAAUAUUUGACUGCAAUCUAUUUCCUGCUGUACAGGCUUCCUAUGUUGCAUCAUAACAGGCGCGGUUACCAACCUCCCAAAGAAAGUGAUACCCCAAAAAAUUCUGCUUUCGGGGUCGCUUCACGUUCUAUCGCAUUCCCAUUAAGCCCUGCGCUCCCAUUGUUUUUCCACUGAUCUCUAUUCCCAACUGAAGCGAUGAAGGACGAGGCAGAUCCGAAGUUAUUAUUCAUUUAAAGCUACAUUUAUAUUCCUUCACAAGUCAUGUGGCAUGCAGAUUCAUUAUUUUCUAUUUUCAUUGUCGUAGACAGUGAAUGGACCUUUCACCUUUUGACUAAAAUUUAGAUCUCACAAGUUUAGACAAAAAUUUUAUCACAGCUUGCAAGAGCAUCACAAAAUUAGUAAUAUUCCAAAGUUUCAUUGCGAAAUGUUGUAAAAUGCGGAUAAUAUAGCCUUGCCAAGUUUGCCAUUUUCAGUCAUUUUGUAUUACGCGCGGGAAAUACAUACCUCCUUCGGAAAAAGGGUAUGUAUUUCCCGUUUGUAAUUUAAAAUGACUGAAAAUUGCAAACUUCGCAAGGCUAUAUUAUCCGCAUUUUACAACAUUUCGCAACGAAACUUCGGAAUAUUACUAAUUUUGUGAUGCUCUUUCAAGCUAUGAUAAAAUUUUUGUCUAGACUUGUUGAAAUCUAAAUUUUAGUCAAAAGGUGAAAGGUCCAUUGAAGGACUGAGAUACAAGUCUCAUCCUGGAAGAACAACCGUCUACCCAUGGGGCUGACAAUCUAUGAAGAUGUCUCGUUUGUCGUUACAUGAGCUGUCUAAUCAGUUUCCUUGUGGUCUCUGUUUCUUCUUGCGGCAAAGUUUCCAAAAUGUGAGCAAUUUUUUGUCCAAUCUUCCAUAUAUGAGAGGAUUUUUCUGAAUACACUCGGUACACACCAGCAACUUUCAGAACAUUUGCCAAAUAUUUAAUCCAAACGUAUUUCAUUAUUAUAUGAUGUUCAUCAGCAAUGUUUAAAAUAAUGCGCAUAGUUAUGGAAAUACUUCCAAUUCCAUAACAUAGAACGGUAAUGAGUCAAACCAUAAAACUUCGUCGAUUUCGGAUAAAUUUCAGGAUAUUUAUUGAAGGAAGGGCCAGGCGCACUUCGUCUCCCUGGAUUUGAACAUACGCUUUUCAUGUAUCUGUUUUGUUUGAUCAGUUCUCGACCUAUUUUAUAAUAAACCACAACCAUAAAUAAUGUUGGGAAAAAGUAAAAGCAUGAUAUGACGUAACCAUUACGAACUUUAUCAUAAACAAUUGCGACAUCGUUCCACUGCAUGAAACAUAACGGCACAUAUGUUCCAUAACCUGCAAUGAAACCAACAAUGUACACCAAAGCAACGACUUUCAAUUUUCAUCGACUGACGUGUUAGGUUUUAAAGGAUGCACAGUAGCACGAUAACGAUCGAAGCAGUGAAAUGAUCAACAUCGUACCUAAACUUGCGUCUUGAAAAAAAAGUUAUGCAACGGAAAGCACAGUACUUCGUGGAAUAAGUAAAGAACUAUUCUUCGACCAAAUUCCAGUUGACAUGAAUGAUAAGAUAAACGAUCAGUACCCCCAGAUCACAUAUUGCAAGAUGUAAAACAACAAAGUACAGUAGUAGUUAUUCUUCAACACUUUCUUUUGUGUUGGAAAUGACAACCAAAAUAUUACCAAGAAUCCCAAAAUAUAGUGUUUAGAGUAUCUGUAGACAUCAUAUGCUGUCUUCUCCAUUGUUUCCUGCAAGUAUAAAUUUGCGUUGUGACUUUCGUUGCUAGAAGGAAAAUUCAAGAUCAAACUGGUAGCUUGUUGUGUAGUUCCUUCGAAAAGCAGGCAAAUGCAAUUAGUUAUGGCACGAUAUACAAAACAAUACCAGAUCUAUUCCACGAAUCUCUGGGCUGUAGACAUCAUAUGCUGUCUUCCCCAUUUUAGUUUCGUUCAAGAAAUUUGACUUACUGAAAAUACAAUACAUGGUUUCCAUGGUGUAUAAACGCCACUUAAAGUUUAGCAAAUAGUAGCAAAUAUGUCAAAAGUCUUAGCAUUUCAUUUAAGUUACUUUUUAUAUCUGUUUUAAACUUGCAUAAAAUUUUGCAGUAUUCUUCUGAUUGGUGAACAAUCUAAAAAUGUUUUGCAAUGAACCAAAAUUAAUUUGCCUUUGUGAAUAACACUCUCAAUCAAGGCGUGACAGGCGUCGACCUGUAUUCUAGAAUUUUAUUGAGUAUCAACAAUGUAUAUGCUUUAAAGUAAACAGGUGUAUAGCGCGAUCCUAACAGUUAAAAGCUUUGCAUCAUCCUAUAAUUAACUGUAAUUCUACAUUAAACUAUUCAAGGAUUAUCUAAAAACGAAUAAUUCACGUUCUCAUGGGAAAGAUAUUGGGCAUAGCGAAAUAGUUUCAAGAAAACCCUGACACAAAAAAGAAGAGCUUAUAGGAACGAGUUUGGCACAUGUCACCCCUGUAGAGCUGCACGCAGAAGAGGCUACAGAAUUUUCAUUAUUUGUGAGCCACGACCCUUCCACUUUUAUAUAAAGUUGUUAAACAAUGCUCUUGACUUUACUGGAUAUGAUCGCAUUAUGCAUAUCUCUAACUUGGAAAAAGCUAGCUUAUGUCUUUAUAUGACCGACGACAUCAAGCAUGUAUGUAUAACAGAGUAGUUCAACUCUAGACCGCUAGGGCUGUAAUGUUUGUUCUUAUAAAAUUAUCUAAUGUCUAUAUAUCUACCUUAUAUAAUUAUCCAUAUAUCUAGUCAUGCAUCUGAAUAAUUUGUAAGCUGCAAACUGGGCAAGUGUAUCACGUUUAUUGUAAACUUAACUUUUAUUGCAUAUUACCAAAUGAACUGCACAUUCAAAAUUAAAUAUCCGAAUGACACGGUAUCCAUGGCAUACUUAAUUAAAAGCGUGCACUGCAAAUUGCGAUAUUAUUUAGCUUUGAGAUGCCUGGUGCAUAUAUUACUGUUUUAGGUUAUCUAGAAACUUCAUUAAUAUCCAAUAUAGACGAUAUGUAAUUUUAAAGCAACAAUGUUUAUAUUAUGAAUUUAUUUAUUUGUUUAGCCUUGCCAACUAGGGCAGGGUCACCACAACAGCAUACAUGCCAAAUACUGUGGGCCCUUUUACCUAACCCAUACAUGUGGGAGGAAACCGGAAUACCCGCGGAGAAGACUCACGACUUUCGCAGAGCGUGGACUUUUACUUUUUCCACAUGAGGACUGGGUUUGAGUUGCAUUGAGAAAGUUCUCACUGAGGCUUGAACCUGCGACCUUGGAGGUGAAAGGCAUGCAAGUGCGCUAACCACUUCGUUACCGUAACCUCGAGCAGGAACUUAAUAUUGAUGGAAUAUUACUUGAAAUUUGCAGUACAUGCGUUUGUUGUCCAGGACAAAGUAUAAAUAAUUGGUUUUUGAGUGAUACUGUGCGCCAACGAUCAUCGUCAAAUUUCAGUAUGUGAGGUAUUUUGCUAAAAUUGCUUGUUUUUCACCUUAAUUUUCUCAUAUAUACAGGUUGUGCCAAUGCAAUGUGAUUAGGUCAGAACAUGUGCUUUUCUUUCUAGUUUUUGCUAAUAGAAUGUAAACUCGCCUAAAAAAUGAAGAAAGUACUGAAUUUUGGCAAAUUUCAUGUGCAAGUGUGAUUUAUACGAAAAAGGCGACUCAGAAAAUGGGCAUCGGAAUAAUCAUUUUGCCGUGUAUUGUGCUACAAUAGUUUUAAAAUAUUAUUUUUAGGUUUUCAAAGUAUUUAAAAAACAGAUACGCAUAGCAAUCAAAUUUUUCUAUGACCCUCAUUUCGAAGCGUAAACUUUGUAUUAUUUUUAAACACAAUUUUCGCUCGUUCAAAAUUCUAUAAACACAAAUUUUGUCAUGUUACAGGUUGUGCCAACGAAUUAUCGCUGUUUUACAUUAAAUUUCAAAGCAUUUUUUAGUCGGUAUUAAAUUUCUUGGCUUUGUAAAAAAUGAAGAAGUAUUAGUAUUUUUGGUUUGAAUAUCACAUUUUAUUCAAUUGUAAAAUAUGUGGCAAUAGAGGAAAUCAAAGUAUUACUGCAACAUUUUUUUGUCAGUGAAUCCAAUUUUUGUGGUGAUUUGUGGGCCUAAACAGACGCUGCAAAAUUGUCUUUCGAAGGCUUCGUUCAUGUUGUUUAUGUUUUUUAAAUCAACCAAGUGGAAGCACGCAUAUCUUCUUCCCCCGCUAAAACCCGAGCAGUUUUCGCGCAUGCUCAGUCAAUUUUUCCACCUGUUCCAAUAAGAACCCUGUACAUAACGACUUUGUUUCCAUGGUGUAUAAUGGCAUUUUCAUAUAGCAGCAAACGUUUCUUCAAAAAGAAAAUUUUCAGACGGUUUCACAAGCAAAAGAAGCAAUUAGGACUUUAUUUUUUAUAUCUGUUUUGAACCUAUGGCAACCAGGGUAAACUUACAUGGACUUUUGUAUAAAUUCUUCUGAUUAGUGAAUAAUCUACAAAUUCUUAUGUCAUCCCAACGAAAUUAAUUCAGUUUUGUGAAUAACUCUCUCAAUCAUGAAAUAGCAGAAUUAAGGCGUAUUCUAUGGAGUAUAUAUGUUUAUGCUGCAAACUAAACAGGUGUAUCACGAUCGUUGAACAUAUUCUCUUGUGAUAUUAUCAGAUGACCUAUAAUCAUCAAAAACUUUGUACCUCAUUAUUAACUGUAAUGAAUCAUCGAGGGAUUUUCAUUUAUGUUUGGGAAAAAAUAUUGGGCAUAACGAAAUGGUUUAGAAUAAAACCCUGACACAGGUCGCCUCUAUACAUUUGCACUGGGAGGAUGAGGCGCCACAAUGUUGCGUCAUUUGUGAGCAAUACUCUCGAACUUGACAGGCUGUUAACCCAUGCUCUUGAAUUUGCUGGAAAUAUGAAUAAUUUGUAAGCCGUGAAGCAGGUGUGUCACGUUCAAUGAAGACUUAACUUAGUGCCCAGCCUGUUUAUAUGAUCCCGCCUAAAUUCCCACACAAGUUAUGCGGCAGAUUCAUUAUAUAUUUUCCAUUUUUUGACUGUGGUACAUGCAGGUGAGGCUGACAAUCUAUGAAAAUAUUUCCGGUUUGUCCAGCUUGCAACAAGAACUGUCUAAUCAGUUUCCUUCUGGUCUCUGUUUCUUCUUGCGGCAAAGUUUCCAAAACGUGAACUUUUUGUCCAAUAUUCCAUAUAUGAGAGGAUUUACCGAAUGCGAACCAACAACUAACACAAUAUAUCCCACAUACUCAAUCCAAAGUGAUUUCAUUAGAAAAUAAUUUUCUCCAGCGAUGUACAAAAUAUAAUACACAGAGAUAGGAAUAUUUCCAAUUCCACAACAUAGGACGGCAAUGAGACAGACAAGGAAAAUUCGUCGAUUUCGGAUAAAUUUCUGGAUAUUGGAGGAAGAGCCAGGGGCACUUUGCCUCACUGGAUUUGGGCAUAUACUUUUCAUGUAUUUGUUUUGUUUGGCGAGUGCUUGACCUAUUUUAUAAUAAACCACAGCCAUAAAUACUGUUGGGGAAAAGUAAAAGCAGAAUACAAAGUAACUGGAAUAAAAUUUGUGAUAAAUAAUUGCGACAUCAUUCCAUGGCGACUGCAUGAAACAUAACGGCAGAAACACUCCAUAACCUGCGACCAAACCAACAAGGUACACCAAACCACAAAUGACUUUCAAUUUCCGUCGACUGAUGGCAGGUUUUAAGGGAUGUACAGUAGCACGAUAACGAAACACUGAAAUGAUCAACAUCAUACCUAUUCCUGCGACUCGAAAAACGAGAUAUAUGUGAAAGAAAACACAAUACUUGGUGGAAGUAAUAACAAGAUGUUCUCCGAAAAAAUACCGGUUGACAUGAUCGACAAGGAAAAGGAUCAGUGCACCCAGAUCACAUAUUGCAAGUUGUAAUACAAGAUAGUAGUAGUUAUUCUUCAAAACAGCCUUUCGUCCUAGUAUGGAAAUGAUCACCAAAAUAUUACCGAGAAUCCCAAAUACAAUUACUACAGCAAAAGAAUAUCUGUCGACAUCAUAUGCUGUCUUACCCAUUCUUUCGUUCAAGUAAUUUGAGUUGUGACUUUCGUUGCUGGAAGGCAAAUUCAAGAUCAAAUUGUUAGCUUGUCUAUGCAAUUCUUCGAAAAACAGAACAAAUAACAAAUACAGCUGUAAGUUAGCUUAGGUGCGGCAUAUAUAAGGCAUUAACAGACGUAUUCCGCCAAUAAGAACCCUGUACAUAACGACAUUGUCUGUGCAAUUCCUUUAAUUAAAAAACAGAACAAAUGGCAAUUGGCGAUAUACACCAGAUGUAUUCCACCAGUAAGAAUCCUACACAUAACACAUGGUUUUCAUGGUGUAUAAACGCCACUUAAAAAUUAGCAAAUAACAGCAAAAUAGUUCAAAAGAAGAAUUUCAGAGCGUUUAGCAUGCAUGAAAGCAAAACGACUUAGCAUUUAAAAUUUAACUUAUUUUUUAUAUCUGUUUUAAACUUGCAUAAACUUUUGUAUCAUUAUUUCUGGUUGGUGAACAAUCUAAAAAUGUUAUUGCAAUGAACCGAAAUUAAUUUGCCUUUGUGAAUAAUACUCUCAAUCAAGGAGUGACAACUAGACGUUGGCCUGUAUUCUAGAAUUUUAUUGAAUAUUAACAACGUGUAUGCUUUGAAGUAAACAGGUGUAUAGCGCGAUCCUAACAGUUAAAGGACAUUGGCACCCAACAUUUUUAUUACUUAUAUCUCUUAGGUAUACUUGCGGAAUAUUUAAUUUCAUAUUUUGGCCGGUUUGUCGCGUUUAGUUGUUGAGAAAAUUUGAUAAAAAGUUCAACAGUUGUCCGCCAUUUUGAAAUUAAACGUGUAUGCUAAUUUAUGCCUCAAAAUACAUUAUCUGACGUCAUUGGCUGGGUAAAAACUGAAAAAACAAUUUCAUUACUAUAAACAAUACCGAGUAUUGCCACGCGUAGUGCAUUUGAACCGAAACAAAAGGCAGCAAAGUUUUACCAUAUAUUAACUAUGGUUUUACCAAGUAUGUAAUUUGUUUGUAACACUUUCUCAUAGCAUAUAUCCUACUCCGUGUUAAAUAAACGCAGAAAUUCGAGUGCAACAAGACAAAUACUAAUGCAAUAUUUUAUGAUCAAUUACCUGUUAACCUGUAUUGUAAAUUGCGCCAUUCCUUGCUUUCCCAGUCGCUCGAUAUGUUUUUAUCUGAUAGUGUAGACUUAUCUUGUUUGAUUGCGAAGAGUGUUGGCCAGUAUAACGCUCAAAACGACAUAUUUUUAGCUAACAUAACACGCACGCAAUAGAAUUCUCUCUUGUAGUUUUGGUGCUACCCAUCCAAUGACGUCACAAAGUUCAUUGACCUUCGAGAUAAUUUGUCAAAAAAUAUUUCCAAGAUGGCGUCGAAACACAAAGUUUGCAUGCAUUUUACUCGUAGACUAAAAUGUUUGAGAACGAAAUGAUAAUAUUUUCAUAGUUAGGUCGUCAAGUGGGAUUGAAAUAGCCAAUAAAAAUUUUCGGUGCCAUUGUCCUUUAAAAACGUAGAUUUGCAUCAUCCUAUUAACUUUAAUUCGAUAUCAAACUAUUGAAGGCUUAUCUAAAAACGAAUAAUUCACGUAGCGAAUUAGUUUAAAGAAAACCCCGACACAAAAAGGAAGAGCUUGGGAACGAGUUUGGCCACAUGUCACCCCUAUAGAGCCGCAUACAAAAGAGGCUACAUAAUUACUCGCUGGGGCACUGUGCCCAGGCGAGUAUAGGUUUCGGCACGCAUCAGAGGGCACGCAUGGUGGAUGUCAGAUGUCGGAUUUCCGAUCGUCGUUGAUAGCCACAAAAUAGAAUAUUAAUGAGCUGCCUAAUAAAACCCAAUUUAUCCUUUUCAAAAUGGCGGCCUUUCCGUGGAGUGGGCAAAAUGUUUCAGACAAUUUCGUUAAAAUUUUCAACGAAAUGUAUCUGUUUUCUAUGGAUUUUGUAUUGUGUCUAACUCUGGGCAUUUUUGCUAGUUUAGCUAAUGCAUUUUUCUUGGUCCACGACUCUGAAAAUCCGAAAUUUGGAUCUUUGAAUUCCCGUGCAUGAUCUUAUACUGAAUCUGAAUAUAAACGAGCCAAAGACAAUUUCAAGGUAAAAGGUUAUAACUUAAACUACACAACGUAGUUUUAAUAGAUAACUACUUUAUGAGAAGCAUAUUGGUAAUCAAUAUAAAAUUUAUGCAACAACAGUCCCUAAUAGUAAUAGUCAGCUGUGAAAACGUGAAAACUGUACUGUGAAAUAUGAUAUUGUAAUGCCGAUAAGGAUAAAACUAGAAGUUACUAUCGCAAGGGAAGUGCUGCCUCACCCCAAGGGAACAAAGGCAGCAUGCACAAUUUGCUGAAUAAGGGGCUGUUUAUAUGACCCCGCUUUGCCAGGACGAGAUAUGAGGCGGGAUGAUUGUCAUGUUUUAUAAAUUGUUUAUAUGCUGCGAAGCUGCAGAUCGAAAUAUUUUCAAAACCCCAUUCGUGGUACGUCGUUCGCAGAUCACUAAACAAAGUAUUCGGCAUUGGUAUUCGGCAGUCGUCGAUUUGCUAUCGUAAACUCCUGGAGUAUGAUAAUGCUCCAAUGUAAAUUCCUUACUGCAACGUCAUAAUUUGACGUCACAACUGCCGACAAACACUUGAACGACACAAAAUCGAGAUACGCUUCAAGUAUAUAAAACUGUUGGCGGGAAAUUCAAAUGCGCUAUAACACGUGUCAGGAAUAGUGAGCUGCUUCGCGUACCAUCGUUCGAUUCAGCGUAAGAAAUUGUAUUUAUGGAUGUCAAAUGUAUUACAAAACAACAGUAUUCUAGCGAUUUAUGGCCUUUGAAAAUCAAGCGAAAUUGUAUUUUUGACAAAUCGCUCGCAGUACGUAUUGCUGACAGACAAAUCACUCGCAGUACGUUUGUUCUUGUAUUUGUAACAUUGAACUAUAAGUAAACCAUAUAGUUUACUUAUAGUUCAAUGAUUUGUAAUGCCUAAUGGCGCAAUAAGGAUAAAAAUACCACCGUUCGAUUCAGCGUAAGAAAUUGUACUUACGGAUGUCAAAUGUGUUACUAAACAAGAGCAUUCUAGCGAUUUACGGCCUUUGAAAAUCAAGCGAAAUUGUAUUGUUGUAAAUGACAUGGAGUUAUAUCAACACGGCUCUUAGCCAAUUAGCGUUCAGAAUUUACAAAUGCUAUUUUAUAAAUGUAUAUAAUAUAUAGUACUUUAGUAUAUUGUAGCCAAAUCAUUGUAAAAAAUUCAAAUGUAUCUACAACAUUAGUAUUCAAUUAUAUAAUACGAAAAUUCCCCCUUCUUUUUCUCUUUUGUACAUAAUGUAUAUAUACGUCAAAACUUUCUGAUUUUACAUAUUGUAUUAAUUAAUAUUGACUGUAAAUAAUUGAUUUAAUAUGCGAUCUAGAGGCUUAUAAAAAAAUUAUUGUAACAUAUUUUAAAUAAAAAAAAUAUUUAUUGGUACAUUUGCGUAACCGUCAUUUUUCUAGACUGCACGCCCCGCCAAAAAUUGUGGAUGAGCUAAAAUUUACGCCAAAAUACGCUGCCAAAAGUCAGUAGAAAAUUUUUCCCCGCCAAAGAUCUUUGGCGAGAGGGGCCUGGAAUGCAGUCGGGCCAAUGAUGAAUGGCUGUGUCAUAUAAAAAAAGGAGAAAUAUAUUUCAACUUUGCAUGCAAUGAUAGUAACACUAUGCAACUAUUAGUAUUUAUUAUAGUGUACCAGUUCCCAAACCAAGCACAAUUUAAGAGCAUAUGCAUUCAGUAUCAUGAAAAUUUUUUGGGGGGGAGUAGGGGCUGAAGCCUCCAGCUCCCAGCUUCCGCUGUCCCUAAGCCUAAGGGGUCAAGUGUCAAAAUCGGACUUCUUAAAGAAAGGGUCAAAUAUACAGUAUGUUUAUGCCAAAGGAAUGUCUUUUUUUCUGAAAUGUAGACUUGAAAACAUUGAAUAAAAAAAGUCAAAAAUAAUAUUAAAAAGCUCUGAGGCAUGUUUCAAACGUCGCGCUUCUCAUGUGCCGAACGCAUUAGAAACAAUAGAUAACGAGGAAUUUCAUCUGAUUAUCUAUUGUUUUUAACGCGUUCGGCACAUGAGAAGCGCGACGUUUGAAACAGGCCUGAAUCUCACAAAUACCUCAUUCAAAAUAAAUCCUUCAAUAAACUUGACCUGUUCACAACAUUCUUUUCAACAGUCCCAUAGACGUCUCCCAGUUCUUAUACCUGUGCGCUAACAGUGUACUUUGAAAACAAUGCAGAAUUUGAAGUUGUGAAAAUUUUCUCGAAAUUAUCCGGUAUUAAGGUCCAAUGUCCUUGGUAUGGAGGCACGGGCUUUUGUAAAAGACCUUUACAUAUAUUAAGGUACAGUAUUGACGUCUUUUUGGCAGAAACAUCUACAAUAUUUUUACCGUUCCCAUAGGGGUCUCUACUAUAAGGAUCUUUUUUACGACAGGAAUUCUUCACGGAUCUAGUUGGAGCCUCGUCAUUAUAGUUGGCUGAUAGGGUCCCUUUAUAUUUUAACAAAUGUUAGAUAGCAUCGAUUGAAGUAUACAAUCCGUGAUAUUAAGUGGAAGCUGUAUUGAAUUGUUUUAUUUUUCUAGUACAAUUUUAAAUCAUGAAUUGGACUAAGAGACUAUCGCCGGUGUCCCAGUUGACUUCCAUUUGGACACCCCUUCAAAAGUUAAAUAUAUGUAAUUUGAACACAAUAAUAUAACCAUUUUUGUCCUCAUAUGUUGACGAACCUCUGAGGCCUUACAUCCAGGCUUUUACUCCUUUUAGCCAGAAGGGCAUUCAGGCGUUCUGGGACGCCCCUAGAACAAAAAAUGGACGCCUCUGGACGCUCAAAUUCUGGGGAAAAAAGGGAAUUAUAUUCAAUUAUUUCCCUAUUAAUAUAUCUGAAACGAAAUAGCUUCAAUUCUCAUUAUUAUUAUACAUUUGACAUAUUGAUCAAUUUGAUGGUGUACCUGGCUGAAUGAAAAUUAUGUCGUAGUUAAGUAAAGAAGCAUAGCGGACAAACUCGCAAAGCCGAGUGUGUUUAAAAAAUUUCGAACGAGCUUGGAACAGAUACUGACAUGAAGUAACGUAAACUUCAAAGGUUUUCCAGAACAACGUUUUCUCAACCCUCCCCCCCCCCUAUUUACUGUAGAUGUAUCCUUGUACCAAAAUUGGACGCCCUCUUUUAGGACUCUGGCUAAAAGCCUGCUUACAUCUUUACUUUGUUGAUACAUAAGCUGUAAAAAGACAAAUUUAUUUAAUGUAUACAUUCCAAUGUGUCUUGUUAACCCAUUAAAUGUGCCCAAAUGCACCCAAUUUAUUAUUUUACUCUGUCUAAAGGUAGGCAACUUUACUCUGUCAAAUGCCAAAUCGCUAUGUUUUACUUUUACUCUGUCUAAUGCCAGACAAUUUUAUUUGUUAAGUGGAGAGUCUAGCAGACUAACACAUUAAUGGAAUAAACAUAAUAAAAUAACAAAGUACUAAAAGUAGGGCACAUUGGUUCUAAAUAUGCCAACACAGAAGCUUUUGUAGUUAAUUAUUAACCUUUCAAUGACCAACACUCAUCCUGAUGAGUAAAAUCAUCUGAUAAUUAAAUAUCAAAGUACUGAAACUUGUGAGGAUCGAGUGUUUGGGUGAAUUGUAUCUAAAUGUGUUAACACCAAACAAUGCAGAAUAGUCUGAUGUUAGACAGGGCAAAAUAUUCAGCUUUGAAAUAGAGCACAUUCGUGUGAAUGAGGUCUUAAUGAGUUUACACAUAACACAGGGAGACAGUAAGAUAACCUAGCUAUCAAAGUUGUCCACUCCCUUUCACAAGUAAAAUGUUCUGGUGUUAGACAAGGUAAAAUAAAAAAGUUGAGCACGUUUAUCUUAACGAGUUAGCAUGAAAUGCAAGUAGAGAAUCUGGUUAACUUGAAUACCAUCACAUAGUUAUUUCAUAUAAAAACAUGGAGAAUUUUCCUGGCAUUACACUAAGGCUAACAGAUUUUAAUACAUUGACUGGUGCAACACCUCUCACAAAGAAAUAUCAAUUUUAAUUUGAACAAUAACAUAGGAAUAAAUAUCAAAACCUUAGGAAGGUUGCCGCUGAUUUGAGCAAGUAGUUAAUUAAAUUUUCAAAUUAUGAGCUGAGCAUAGUAUAUAUACAUGUAUAGGCAUGCAUUAAUGGCUGCCAAUUAAUCUGGCAUAUACAGUUGGCAUAUACAAAUAUAUUAUUAUAAACUAUCAACAUGGAUAAGUCUAAUUCAAAUGUAAAACUUUUAUAGUAGCAUUUGUUGNNNNNNNNNNNNNNNNNNNNCAGCAUUUUAUCACCCGGUAAAAUGUUGCUUACGAGUCCUUCAAAACAUUUCGUACAAAUCUCGCGUGGUUUAGCAACAGGGACGUGACAGGGGGGGUUGAGACUUGAAAAAUGAAAGCAAAGCCCCACACAGUAUCGUAAAACCAUUAAACCAACAAUCAGCAUUUAAUUUGUAUUAUUAAUAAUUAGUAUAAUUACAUAAGUGAUUAUUGAAAAUUCUCCACGCUGAUUGGUUGCCGUUGAGGUGAUUAUUACGCGAUAAUCACCUAAGCGAUUUUCAAAAUGGCGGCCGAAGCCUUUUUGUCAAUUAAAUGACGAAGAAAUGUGUAUUUUUUUAUUUUUUUUCAAAUAAUCACCUAUGUAAUUAUACUAAAACAAUUAUUCACCUCAGGCUCGGUGAUUAUCGUGAAUAAAAACCUCGACUUCGUCUCGGUUUUUAUUCACCGAUAAUCACCUCGCCUUCGGCGAAUAAUUGUUAAUUAUUCGCCGAAGGCGAGGUGAUUAUCGGGAAAUAUUCGCCGAGACGAAGUCGAGAUGAAUAUUCCCCGAUAAUCACCGAGCCUGAGGCGAAUAAUUGUUUUAGUAUUUUUACACAAGCUUUUGUGUUUUUUGAGNNNNNNNNNNNNNNNNNNNNCAAAUAAUCACCUAUGUAAUUAUACUAAAACAAUUAUUCACCUCAGGCUCGGUGAUUAUCGUGAAUAAAAACCUCGACUUCGUCUCGGUUUUUAUUCACCGAUAAUCACCUCGCCUUCGGCGAAUAAUUGUUAAAUAAUAAUAUGUAUAUAUUUGUCGCUACAAGAAAUAAAACAAACGUUUGUAUGAUUGUCUUUAGUUUUUAGUCUAUUUCACGCAGCCUUCUUCUAUCUUCGUGAAAUAAUUCACCCCCCCCCCCCCUGUCCCNNNNNNNNNNNNNNNNNNNNUAUUUUUUUAUUUUUUCCAUAUAAUCACCUAUAAAAUUAUACUAAAACAAUUAUUCACCUCAGGCUCGGUGAUUAUCGUGAAUAAAAACCUCGACUUCGUCUCGGUUUUUAUUCACCGAUAAUCACCUCGCCUUCGGCGAAUAAUUGUUAAACAAUGCAGAAUAGUCUGAUGGUAGACAGGGCAAAAUAUUCAGUUUUGAAAUACAGCACAUUAGUGUGAAUGAGGUCUUAAUGAGUUAACACAUAACAUAGGGAGACAGUAAGAUAACCUGGCUAUCAAAGUUGUCCCCUCCCUUUCACAAGUAAAAUAAUCUGCUGUUAGACAAGGUAAAAUAAAAAAGUUGAGCACAUUCAUCUUAACGAGUUAGCAUGAAAUGUAAGUUGAGAAUCUGGUUAACUUGAAUACCAUCACAUAGUUAUUUCAUAGAAAAACAUGGAGAAUUUUCCUGACAUUACACUAAGGCUAACAGAUUUUAAUACAUUGACUGAUUCAACACAUCUCAUUCUCACAAUGAAAUAUCAAUUUUAAUUUGAACAAUAACAUAUGAAUAAAUAUCAGAACCUUAGGAAGGUUGCUGCUGAUUUGAUAAGCUGAGCAUAGUAUAUAUGCAUGUAUAGGCAUGCGUUAAUGGCUGCCAAUUAACAGUUCACAGUUGGCAUAUACAAAUAUAUUAUUAUAAACAAUCAACAUGGAUAAGUCUAAUUCAAAUGUAAAACUUUUAUAGUAGCAUUUGUUGAAGUAUACUAUAGAUGAUAUAAAUAUAUUUAUAUCAGCUUUAUAAUUUCAUUAUUGUCGCAGCAAAUUCAAAUUUUAAACCGAAUUUCAAGAAUGAAAAUUCGAGGUAUUUCCUUUAUAAUUUGCUUUAUUAUGAACAAAAUACAAACAUAUUCUCACCUGACCAUUAUGCAAACAUCUCUGAUGAAUUACUAGUGAAAAUCCAGUUCAAUCUCAUCAAAAAUAGUUAUAUUUUGAACAUGAACCAUUCACAAACUCAAAAAUAAAAAUUUGAAAAAAUAUUGGUGGUGUGAUCAUAGAAUAUACAAUAGACCAGAAGCCUCACUGUACACCUUUCCUUAACAUUUUCGUGUCCGCGAUUUUCGCCUUGCGGAUCACGAAUUGCGCACGCUAGAUGACGUGUGUGACACUUGCUGCGAACAUCACGUCAGCGUUCGUCAGCGUCAAUUCCUCAAAUCAACGGUUUUUCUUGAAAUUCGAAAAACAUGCUCAAAGUGUACGUUGCAUAUUCUGCAAUUAUUGUGCAAAUAUUUUACGCUUUUGUUUUUUACGUUGUGUCUUCCUGUUGCGAUGACCCAUUAUUUGGACCUGUGGCAUUUAAAAAUGGUUAAAACAGCAAUCUUUAUCACCUAGUGAUGGCAAUUGAUGGCGUUGCUCGCGUACCAGGGUGGAAAGUUUGUAGGUUGCGCCGAAGAUCUUCGGCGUGGAAAAUUCAUAAAUUUGCUCCUUUUUGGCGCAGAAUUAUGGGAAAAUGAACUGGUGUGGCGCACUGGCGUACAAACAUUUAUUUAUUUGUGCACACUACAACAUUCUCAACCAUUUCUGUUUGUAUUUCAGCCAUGUAAUAACUGGAAUUUGAUUAAGCACUGACUGACCGUAUUUCAAAAGUUUAGUAUCUGUUCUGUCUCGGCUCUAAAAGUGUUGACAUUGCAACUCGGCGGCGCAUGUGAAUAUGUUUAAAACAGGAUUUGUGCAGCACUGCAGCCACUGGCACAUGUUACUGAACCUUGAUCAAAUCUUCGGCGCACAAAAAACAAACUUUCCACCCUGGCUCGCGUAUGAUGGCUUCGUGAUUACACUUGCUGGCUCGCGCUUGCGCAUAAAAAAUCUCGGACACAAUUUUGGCUGAGUGAGCUUCUGGUCUAUUUUCUAUUCUGUGAUGUGAUGAUCUAUCCCGAGAUGCUUUGCGCGCGUGGCAAGAAAACUAGACACCAGUCUGUCGGUCGCGCACAUUGCGGUAAUUAUUCAUUUAAUUUAGUAAUCUUAAUUAGAAAAUAAAUAGCCCCAGUAUUAAAUGCUGUUAUUAAAAUGUUUAUGAAUAAAAGGCGAUAUAGGAAUAGUGCAAUUGUAGCCUGUACUACUAUCGCCUGAUACAUGCAUGGGUAUAAGAACUUUACUUUAUAAAAAUACAGAGAAAAUAUAAUUUAUGAAAUAACUCAUUCUUCCUAUAGGAAUUUCUAUUUCUUACAGGAUUUCUAAUCCCACCAUUUUCCAAUCCUAUAAGAAUUUCAAUAGGAAUUUAUAUUUCUUGUAGGAAUUUGUUACACCAUUUUCCAAUCCUAUAGGAAUUCCUAUAGGAAUUUUUAUUUCCUAUAGGAAUUUUUUCACCAUUUUUAAAUCUUAUAUGAAUUCCUAUAGGAAUUUUCAAUUCCUAUAGGAAUUCCUACAGCCAUUUUCCAAUCCUAUAGGAUUUCGUAUAGGAAUUUUUAUUUCCUAUAGGAAUUUUUUCACCAUUUUCAAUUCCUAUAGGAAUUCCUAUAAGAAUUUUCAAUGCCUAUAGGAAUUGGUAUAGGAAUUUGUUACACAAUUUUCGAUUCUUAUAGGAAUUCCUAUAAGAAUUUUCAAUUCGUAUUAGAAUCCUAUAGGAAAUUUUUGUAAGGGAUGCUUGGUUUUGUAUUUACGUUAUUAAAGGCAAAGCAAUGAUUUAAAUUUACCUAAAUAUAGACUAACGACCGGACAAAGAAUGUUCUCCUGCACUACAGAGGGGCAAAAUUGUAUAAUGAUCUCCCUCGCGAUAUUAAGAAAAUAGGGAACAUAAAGAUUUUGGAGAUAAGACUACGAAGUGACCUUAUUACAAGUAAUCUUAUUACAAGUAAUCUAUUAGCUUAACCUAUUUUAGCCAUUAAAUUAACUAUAUGAUUGUAUAGUAUUUAUUUGUUUGUAGCGGAAGAGCCCUUUUUCGGGAGCUAUAAUACAGUACCUGUGUCUAUUAAAGCACAUAUGGCUAUUUUUCCGAGGGAAAGAGCCUGGGAAUAAGGUUGAUGUUCCCCACACGUACAUGUACUAACUUCCAGGCCUUGAAUUUCGUUUUUAUAUUUUUCAGGUAGUAUAGAUCGCUAAACCAAGCUCACAAACUGGAUUAAACCAUGCUCACAAACUGGAUUAAACCAUGUCUGGUCAUCGUGGAAAGACAUCAGACAGCUUAGUAAAAAACAAAAGAACACACUCAGGAAACAAACCUUUUGAAUGUGAUGUUUGUAAGAAGAGAUAUACACGCUCAGCCAGUUUGGUCAUCCAUACAAGAACGCAUACUGGAGACAAACCUUAUCAAUGUGAUGUUUGUAAGAAGAGAUUCGCACACUCAGGCAGCUUGGUCAACCAUAGAAGAAUGCACACUGGAGACAAACCUUAUGAAUGCGAUGUUUGUGAGAAGAGAUUUACACAAUCAGUAGACUUGGUGAGACAUAGAAGAAUGCACACUGGAGACAAACCUUAUGAAUGUGAUGUUUGUAAGAAGAGAUUUACACACUCAGGCAGAUUGGUCGUCCACAGAAGAACGCACACUGGAGACAAACAUUAUGAAUGCGAUGUUUGUGAGAAGAAAUAUACACACUCAAACAGCUUGGUCAUCCACAGAAGAACGCACACUGGAGACAAACCUUAUGAAUGUGAUGUUUGUGGGAAGAGAUAUACACAAUCAGGCAACUUGGUCCGACAUAAAAGAACACACAGUGGGGACAAACCUUAUCAAUGUGAUGUUUGUAAGAAGAGAUUUGCGCGGUCAAGUUAUUUAGCCAUACAUAAAAGAACACAUACUGGCGAUAAACCUUAUGAAUGUGAUGUUUGUAAGAAGAGAUUUGCACAGUCAAAAGAUUUUGGCGUACAUAAAAGAACACACACUGGAUACAGACCUUAUGAAUGUGAUGUUUGUAAGAAAAGAUUUACGCAGUAUGGCAACUUGGCGAACCAUAGAAGAACGCACACAGGCGAGAAACCUUUUGAAUGUGAUAUUUGCAAUCUUAGAUUUGCACAAUCAGGAACUUUAGCAAUACACAAAAGAACUCACACCAGAGACAAACCUUAUAAAUGCGAUGUUUGUAAGAAGAGAUUAAGAAACCCAAACAGCUUGGUGAAUCACAAAAGAAUGCACGCUGGAGACAAACCUUAUGAAUGUGAAGUUUGUAAAAAGAGAUUUACACAGUCUGGUACCUUGAUACGACAUAGAAGAAGACACACUGAAGAAGUGCCUUACGAAUGUGACGUUUGCAAGGAAAGAUUUGCAAGAAAAUCCUCUCUUACCCACCACAAAAAGCAACAUUUGUUUUGCAACACUUGCAGCAGAGAGAUUGUUCAACCGCAAGAUUUGAAUGAACAUUUUUUCGUGUUUGAACACGAUGGAAAAUGUAGCUGCAGUAAAUGUGACAAACGAUGUAUUAAUUUCAUGAAAUUGGUACAACAUAUUGCAAGGCAACAUGGUGAUGAUGGAAACUAUCAAUGUGGUUUAUGUCAAGAACUUGAAUCAACAGAACCAACUGGUGUUGAAUACGUUUGUUCCGUGUGUGGUGUUAUGUUUGUUGUUCCCAGAGAACUUGAAGAUCACAUGGCCACUCAUGACUAAAUUAAGUGAAUUUCUACUAUUUUUGCAUUUUAAAGAGUAUUGUGUUGCUGUUAGGUUACUACUAUAGCUUUACUUUUUAACAUAAAAUGUUUGUCCGGACAUGUCAGGGG